CAAGUGGGGACUGAGGACACCCAGGUCUCCAACUCCAGCCAGGAGGAGGCUGGAGAGAGAGGCGAGGCUGGAGAGAGAGGUGGUGGUGAGUGCUAUGGAAAACCAAAACAGAAAUGUGAGCUGAAAAUGAAAUGCCUGAAAGGAGCCAGCCAUAGGAAGAUUGAAGGGCUCUAAGGCAAAAAAGAGCCCAACGGUGCUAGAAGGAAAUUGAAGGCAAGGUGACCACGGUGAUACCACAUGGACAGUGACACGAGGACAGAGGGAUAGGGCCUUGAAGACCAUAGAAAGGAAUUUGGAUUUUAUUCUAAG
RNAcentral lists this long non-coding RNA (309 nucleotides) under Homo sapiens (human). RNAcentral's name for it is "HSALNT0006055". Lineage: Eukaryota; Metazoa; Chordata; Mammalia; Primates; Hominidae. The record is from RNAcentral.